Molecule: ribosomal RNA, 450 nt
Filed under: uncultured bacterium
Lineage: Bacteria
Description: bacterial SSU rRNA
Rfam family: Bacterial small subunit ribosomal RNA
Source: RNAcentral
AACGAACGCUGGCGGCAUGCCUAACACAUGCAAGUCGAACGAGACCUUCGGGUCUAGUGGCGCACGGGUGCGUAACGCGUGGGAAUCUGCCCUUGGGUUCGGAAUAACUUCGGGAAACUGAAGCUAAUACCGGAUGAUGACGUAAGUCCAAAGAUUUAUCGCCCAAGGAUGAGCCCGCGCAGGAUUAGCUAGUUGGUGAGGUAAAGGCUCACCAAGGCGACGAUCCUUAGCUGGUCUGAGAGGAUGAUCAGCCACACUGGGACUGAGACACGGCCCAGACUCCUACGGGAGGCAGCAGUGGGGAAUAUUGGACAAUGGGCGAAAGCCUGAUCCAGCAAUGCCGCGUGAGUGAUGAAGGCCUUAGGGUUGUAAAGCUCUUUUACCCGGGAUGAUAAUGACAGUACCGGGAGAAUAAGCUCCGGCUAACUCCGUGCCAGCAGCCGCGGUAAU